This 67-nucleotide transfer RNA is filed under the name Tregellasia leucops (white-faced robin). Its description in RNAcentral is "tRNA-Cys". Lineage: Eukaryota; Metazoa; Chordata; Aves; Passeriformes; Petroicidae. The record is from RNAcentral.
GACUCCGUAGUGAAGUUCAUAGUGAGUUGCAAGCUCAUUGAUGCACACUGAUCGUGUGUCGGGGUCU